UAGCCAUGAUGUGGGCAAGAGUUUAAUAAAGCCUUGAAUCUUUCCCAAGUUUAAAAAAAUGUUUCAUUUUCUUCGUGGUAAAAAUUUACAAUUUGUCGUUGAAGAGCAA
Small nucleolar RNA from Camellia sinensis, 109 nucleotides. The record is from RefSeq and is a predicted model, not a curated record. Lineage: Eukaryota; Viridiplantae; Streptophyta; Magnoliopsida; Ericales; Theaceae.